This 497-nucleotide ribosomal RNA is filed under the name uncultured bacterium. Its description in RNAcentral is "partial 16S ribosomal RNA". It matches the Rfam family "Bacterial small subunit ribosomal RNA", at positions 28 to 507 of the family's 1533-position model. The record is from RNAcentral.
GAUGAACGCUGGCGGCGUGCCUAAUACAUGCAAGUCGAGCGAACAGACGAGGAGCUUGCUCCUUUGACGUUAGCGGCGGACGGGUGAGUAACACGUGGAUAACCUACCUAUAAGACUGGGAUAACUUCGGGAAACCGGAGCUAAUACCGGAUAACAUGUUGAACCGCAUGGUUCAACAGUGAAAGACGGUCUUGCUGUCACUUAUAGAUGGAUCCGCGCCGCAUUAGCUAGUUGGUAAGGUAACGGCUUACCAAGGCAACGAUGCGUAGCCGACCUCAGAGGGUGAUCGGCCACACUGGAACUGAGACACGGUCCAGACUCCUACGGGAGGCAGCAGUAGGGAAUCUUCCGCAAUGGGCGAAAGCCUGACGGAGCAACGCCGCGUGAGUGAAGAAGGUCUUCGGAUCGUAAAACUCUGUUAUUAGGGAAGAACAAAUGUGUAAGUAACUAUGCACGUCUUGACGGUACCUAAUCAGAAAGCCACGGCUAACUACGUG